CGAUGCCCCUCCUCUCGAUCCCGAUGCAACCUCUCUCUUUCCCUCCUCUCCCGUGCCGCCGCCGCCCCCAUCUCCUGCUCCGCCGCCGCCCCCAUCUCCCGACCUCUUCUUCGGGCGCGGCCGCAGGAGCAUCUCCACCUCUUCACUCCCUCACGCAACAGCACUCCAAACCCCCACCCCCACGCCUGGCUACCGCUAGGGUUUCUUACCCUCGCUGCCCCGCCGCGACUCAUGUUACGGGCAGUGAGGAUGGGAGCGGGUCGGUCGUGUCGCUUAGUGGGUGGACGGUUGGGGCAGUGGCUCCACCGCGCUGGGCGGAGGAGAAGGAUCGAGCCGUGAUGGUCUGAGCUUGGAGGGUAGCGUUGUGCCAGAUCGAGGUAGCAGUAGCCAGAUCCGUGUAGAUCAAGGUUCACCGUCGUCUGAUCCAUGAAAUUGGAGAUUGCCAUUGCACGGUUCGUUGAUGGCCAACAUGCGGAGCCACGCAGUCUGGCCCACCACCUCAGGCGGUCAGGCCGACGUGGUGCCUCCCGGGCGAGGCCGCGACGACCUCUUCCUCUUCGCGCUGUCUCUGUCCUCCUGCUCAAGCCUUCGCCGUCGCCUCCCAUCCUUCGUGGCCUUUCUGUGUGGGCGCACUGCUGGAGGACAACGUUGAACAUGAAGCGGAGCCCAGCCGGAGCAGUCUGACGCGGUGGUCGUGGCCAAGGAGCGGUGGUUGACACCGUUGAGCAGGGGCCCUCGGUCGCCUGCGCAUGGGCCGCGUUCUGAACUAAUGCUUUCUGCAACUGCAAUGUUCCCCUCCACAGCCAGAAGGAAACAUCCGUACAGGCAGAAGGAAUGCAGUUCAGUGACGGCGUGGGCUACAACUGGAUUAGUGGCCUGAAGGCUUAAUGAGAAGAUGAAGAAUGUUGUACAAUAGUGUCCAUCAACAAAGAGUCCUACUACUACCGGUUUGAGAGGCUCUACCCUCAGGAUUCGGCAAGGAAGACCUGCAGUGGAGUCCAAGCAUCGCAUGCAGCACACCGGCGGCCUGAGAGGGCAGCAGCUGCUUUCUUUUCUAUGAGAAGAUGAUCGAGGGGGCCGGCGGCCGUUUUGUCGUCAUCCUCAAUGUGUCCAAGCUCGUCCCGCAUCGGUUGCAAUAUUUCUGACUCAUCGAACGGAUGGUCCACUUUAAAAGAAGCACAAGCAUCAUGUGGCAUUGUAGUCAUUGGUGAAGAUUGAUAUGCACUCAAAUGCAAGACUUAUGAUGGUGUUUGGUGACCGAUAAAGAUGAUUGGAAAGCCUCUUUCCAAGCAUAAGGUUAUCUGAUUCAAAUUACAUCCUCUGCUUGUGUUUUAUGAGUUGAUUUCUACCAUCUACUGUAACGGCUGUGCAAUAACCUUUUCGAAUUUGUGAGGGUGGAAGCCAAAGGAAGAACAACAUACAGUGAGGUGUUCUCCAAAGUUCAAACGCAUGUAUCCUUCACUAAUUGGCCAUGAUAAAUCAUCCCCGAAUGCCACGUUUAAAUAUCGAUGGAGUUUGCUAUAGUUUUGGAUGGCUUUAUCUAAACUGUAACUAUGCAGUCUGCUUAAGAAGCACAAAUUAAAGAGUAUCCUGAAUGCCACCGCAAAAUAAUUAUCCUGUGGAGGUGAUGCUGAAAGGCAUAAAAUUCAAUACUUCUAUUACAUUGUUGCCAUGCCAUUUUUUUGCUGAUACAUAACACGUCUUUCAAAUAUAUAUGCUUGGGAACUGAUUUAUUUUCUUCCCUCUUGAUUCAUCAACUACCUCAACCAGCUACUGUCUAUUACAGGUUGCAGAUGAGAUUUAUUCAGAGCUGAAGUCCAUGGCACAUAUUGGUCCAGGGGUUUGUAUAAUAUGGACUUCUCUAUUCCCUUUCCACUUCUGCGAAUUAAGAAGCAUUGCUCCCAAUUCCAUUUAGCACGGAACUGAUACAAAGAGUGCCGGCCCGCCAAAUGUCAUGGUUCCAGAAAGCUUAUUACAAACAUCCACAUGUUAUAGACCUCUAACCAGCACUGUCGCCUUACUGUCUUUGCAACUACGACAGUGGAACACAACAACAUCGCAGUGAUCGGAUCUGCCGUGCCAUGUCCAUCCAACGCCGCUCUUCUUCGUGCUUCUCCCAAGCGCCCUGCUCUCCACCAACCUCCCACCCAGGCCUCUCCAUGUCAUCGCCAGCCACCCUCCCUGAGCAGCGUCGACCUGCUGGUCGCGGUGCUGCUCUGCAUCCUUGAUGCUGGCGCAUCUGGAUCUUCCGGGGUGCCCCCGCUCUGCAUCUACUCCUCCUCCGUCCGUACCACCCUUCCUGCUGAUCAAAAGUCUCGUCUGGCUACUGCAGCACUCCACUUCCUCCUCCCCGAUGUCUGGUUGUUGUUGUGCGAUCAAAAGUCUCGUCUGGCUACUACAACAUCUUGAUGUCUGCUGGCUUUGCUUUGCUGGCAGGAAUCACCUAGAUCUGGCGGCUGCUCUGCGUUCGUCAUGUGGGGGGGUGUGGCCGGGGAUUGGGAGAAAACCAUGAUUGGAUAGAUGCUGCUGGCCAAGACAACGAUGAUGCUUCACACCAUUUCCAUCUAAAUGGCGUUGUUUGAUCAUCGGCCUGACGGUGGCUAUAGGUGAACUCUGGGGGAAAUCCAUGAUCGUAUCUUCUAUUUGAUCGACCACGGUGUCGCUCCCCUGCGCCGUAAACCUCCCUGGAGGCGUGGUAUGGAGUGCACCUAUCUUGUCUUGCCUCCGCUUCUUCGACGAUGACCGCUCCACCAACCCCCCCCCCCCCCCCCCCCCCCCCCUUCGUUGCCUUCACUUUUCGCCGCUUCUCGUGAUGCUUGCUCAAGACCCUCUCAGGGCUGCCAAUAUGUUGCGGCGAGCUUCGUGCUCUCGGUUCAUCUUAGCUCAAUGAUUGAGCAAGAUGCCUCACAAAGUUGGUUGUCGUUAUGAUUUUCGAUGGUGGAGAUCCCUGUGAAGGUUCGUGUUUGUUAUGACAUUCGUUGAUUUUGAGUAGAGAUAUUCAGGUGAGGAAACUCCCCCCAUUGAUUCUCAAAUAAAUAUUAUCUUUGUUGUUUGAUGAGAAGAAUAUUAGGCGGGGAGUGUAUGAUGCUUUCAACGUUCUCAUUGCACUUCCUGUUACGGCAAAAUAGAAAAAGGAGAUACGGCGGAUGGGCCUUUCAAGUUACAAUUAUGAUUAUGAGUUGAUUUCUACCAUCUUGUUCUUUGAAGGAAUUUCGGAGAGGACUCGUCAACAAGAUUAGGAGCAAGAAGGCACUCCUCUAGGAAAUCGAAAACA
Long non-coding RNA from Triticum urartu, 3274 nucleotides. RefSeq lists it as uncharacterized. Lineage: Eukaryota; Viridiplantae; Streptophyta; Magnoliopsida; Poales; Poaceae. The record is from RefSeq and is a predicted model, not a curated record.